This is a long non-coding RNA of Alexandromys fortis (reed vole), 4020 nucleotides long. RefSeq lists it as uncharacterized. The record is from RefSeq and is a predicted model, not a curated record. Lineage: Eukaryota; Metazoa; Chordata; Mammalia; Rodentia; Cricetidae. The transcript has 2 exons.
UUGGGUGGAGCCUCCAGCGGCCUGGACUUGGGCGGGGCCCUAAGUGAUGAUGGUACAGCUUUCCACAAGAUGGCGCUAGUCAACCAGAGAAUGAUUUUUCAGGCGGUAGAAACAUUUUUUGCAGAAUUGUUCUGUAUAUUUUCCUGUGAGUGGGGUUGUUUGCCUUCUUCGGGGUUCAGAUAUGUCUUUGGUAUGCUGAGCUUAUGCAGAAGCCUGGGAGAUUGGAUGGGGUUACAAGGAGAAUAUUGGUUGGUUGUGCUUCAGUCUCUCUGGUUAGGAUGCAGGGCGCAGGGCACAGGGCACAGGGCUGUCCAGUGGAGGUGUCCACAAGUCCUCCAGAUUCAUUGGCUUUUCCUCUCUGUGGGUCCUGAGACACCUGAGCCUUCCUUUAGUCUUCUGUGGCCAGUGCUCGCAGAAGCUGCCAAAGGAAGGCGUAAAUGACAACCCUUCCCUGAUGGACGACUCCGUUUUGAGGUGCAAACCAUCUGGCUGGCUCUUUCAAUCUUCUUGAACACAGAAAUCUAUCAAUUGUGCUUGCUGGGUGUUUAAGGCAGAUUCGAGGGAGGCGUGUGAGGUCCCUUUGUGUGAGAAACAGAGUAAAACACCCUUUCCCCCGAGUCUUGACUUCAUGAGAGGAACAAUCCAGUCGACAGGGCACAGGGUGGGAAAGAAAAGUAUAAAUAAAUGGGGUCAUCCCAGGCUCUGCGUUGUCACCCUGGAGGCCACAGGAUCACACACUUCCUGUCCACUUCCCAGUUCCUUGGAUCCGAUCUUAAAGCUCUCAUGGACAAAUUAUUUGGUCCCCAAAGUGCUCCCCAGUUAGUGACAUACAUUGCAGCUUUGCCAAGAUGCCCCCCCCCCAGUCCCAAGUUGAACUUAGCAAAGGUUCUGAGACUCUCCAGUGAGUCACUCACACUGUGUGCUCCAGAGAUGCACUGUAGUGUCUAAUCCCAGCCUUCUCAGAACUGUUUUUUUGAGCAUGUUACAGGCCCAGAAGGACCUUCAUGAUCCUCUGCAGGAGGUCUGAGGACCUGGAGAGCUCCCAGAUGGACCCCUUCCCUUCGGCUCUGUUUGAUCCCAAGACGAAUUUCCUAAUGCAAUGGGAUUUUCAAGGUCUCUACAUACAUGGAGGAAGGAAGGGAACCCGGGUCCACACUUCUCCAAAGACGACAAUAGCAUCCCCCAUGACACCCCAUGAGCCCCUCACAGUGUGGCCAGACACUCCUCUCAUGUCAGGAUGGAGGAUGUACCCCUGCCUCUGACAUUCUUCCAACCAAAACAGCAGUAAUGAGAACAUCGAACCCAGAAAUGGCCUGCGAGUUCCCAUCUUGAGUGCUGAGACACCAUGGGGAACACAAGAAUCCUGGUACCACCAAGCUGAGUGACAAUGGCAAGUCACACAAGGAGGCUGACACACGGCUAAGGACUGAAUGGGCCUUCAGAGGAGUCUUCCAUGCUGAGCCCACUGUGGGACAGAAACAGGCCACCACUCCCUUGCCCUCUGCAGAUACCUUGGCACUCAGUGUCACUGGGAUGGGACUGGCUGGCCGUGCCACAAUAGAGAGAUGCUAUUAAUAAGAACAAAGGCUGGGAGGCACAGGCAGGGGUGCGUGCCCAUCCCCUGGGCAGCGCAUCAUCUGUAGUUGCUAAUUUUCGUGUGUGAUAUGGAUAACUUAGCUGGGUAGAUCCCCUCUUCUUUCAGCCCCCCAAAUAGAGUCUACCAGACAAUCCAACUCUUCUCAGAGCCCAACUUCAGCAAGCAUUCUGGGUUUACUCCCCCUCCCCCCAGGCAUGCAGGUAUGGUAAAAAUGCCUUUUGUGGACAUCAGAGGCCCCACUUCACUACAAGCCAAGUCCCCAGGCCUUUGCCCAGCUUAACACAGCUGUUAUCCACAGUGCUCACAAACAGCUGAAACAAUAAAAUUAGACCACUGUUUUCAUAGUCAAACUCCCCGUAAGGCCACCAGAGUUCUGAACAUGUUAGCCAUAGGCGUCUCAACCUGUCAUCACCCGCUUCAUUUAAGCACUGUGAACCUGUGUGACUGUCUUUGGAGGGCUGUCUUACCUAUGCGACCCACCUGGGUGGGAAUUUGGGGGCCUGUUGGAUAGCCAAAAUAUUUUUGGGGUUUCAAGUCUUUAAAUCACUUCCAAGCAUGAUUCUGAAGCUAGCUAGUAGGUCAUGCCCCUGAGAAUCAACGCUUCCUUAGAAAAUUCGAGCUGUGUAUUUUUCUCCAGAAAAUAUUUAUUUAUUUCCCUUUUUUCCUUCGGUUUUACCAGAAGGUCUGGCUUCAGCCUGACUCACUUGACAAUUUUUUCUAUUAGGCGCUGAGGAAAUUGCUCAGAUGUAAAGCCCCAGCUGUGUAACAUGAGGAGUUGAAUCUCUGGGGUAGUUUGAAUGUAACGGGCCCCCAAAACUCAUGAGUGUCACUAUUAGGAGAUGUGACUUUGUUGGAGUAGGUGUGACCUUGUUGGAGGAAGUGUGUCACUGUGGGGUGAGCUUUGAGGUCUCAUAGAUGCUCAAGCCAUGCCCAGGGCUUCAGACCACUUCCUGUUGCCUGCCAGUCAAGAUGAAGGACUCUGAGUUCCUUCUCCAGCACCACGUCUGCCUGCAUGCCACCAUAUCAAUGAUAACGGACUAAACCUCUGAAACUGUAAGCUCCCCAAUUAAAUGUUUUUCCUUGAUAAGAGUUGUCAAGGUCAUGAUGUCUCUUCACAGCAAUAGAAACCUAACUAAGAUAGAACCAUCCCCAGGACUUGAGCAAACAACUGGGAGAGGGGUUCAUGCUUAUGAUCCUAGAGCUGGGGAGGGGGACAGGAGGAUCCUGGCGCUCACGGCAGCCAGUGUAGUAGAAUCCGUGAGCUGCACUCCUAUAGUGGCAUUUCAAUUGUAUUUUAAUAAAUAAAGACUGCCUGAAGAUCUGAGAGUAGAACAGAACCAUUGGCCAGCCUUACAGACCAGAUUAUGGUAACAAACACCUUUAAUCCCAGCAGCCACACUAGUUGCCAAAGAAACCAGAUGGUGCAUACCUUUAAUCACGGUGGUGUACGCCUUUAAUCCCAGCCCCGGGGAGGAUUAUAAAAGGGGAGGAAACAGCUCUCAACACACACUGAGAUUCAGGAGGCAGGAUCAAAAUUUCAGACUGAGGCUGAGGCUGCUUUCGUCGGGGUUACAGCAAGGAUAACAAUACACACACCCAAGGCAGCUCUCCAUGCGCUGAGGAGUUUUUAAUCUUAACAGACGACUUCUAAGGGGUGUACUGGAUCAAACUACCUAAAAACAUGCCAGCUGGAGGUUUGGUUUUGUUUUCUGCAUUACUGGGGAUGGAAUGCAGGCCCUUGAGCACGCUCGGUAGGUGCUUACCCAGUGUUUCUCCCUCAUGCCCGGCUUCCACAGUUCUCUCUGAUUUGGCUAGCUUUGAUAUGCCCUGUAUUCACAACCAACCCUCUGUUCACACACACACACACACACACACACACACACACACACCCCUAUAUCUAUAGAUAUAUAUGUAUAUGUAUAUUAUAUGUAUAUCUAUAGCUCCAUUCUGUUUUGCUUUCUCUGGCUCUCAGAAGACCCAAAUUCAAGAGCAACUUGGGGAGGAAGAAGGUUAUUUGCCUUAUACUUCUGGGUCACAGGUCAAUUGAGAAAAAUCCCUCCAUAAAAUUGAGCUGGAGGCAAACCUGUAGGGCAUUUUCUUAAUUAGUGAUUGAUGGUGGUGCCAUCCCUUAGUGGAUGGCCCUGGGUUCUAUAAGAAAGCAGGCCAGUCAGCAGCACCCCUCGAUGGCCUCUGCAUCGCCUGAGGCCUCCAGGAUUCUGCAAUAUUGGACUUCCUGUCCUGAUGAGGAGCAGUGCUGUGAUGUGGAGGCAUAAGCCGAACAAACUGUCUCCUCUCCAAGCUGCUCCGGUCACAGUGUCUUAUCACAGCAAUAGAGACCGUACCUAAGGCAAUAGGUAAGGUAAAACUAAAAUAAAAAAUAAUAUAAACUUUAAAAAAAAAAAGAGAAAAGUUCUGACAUGGCA